RNAcentral lists this ribosomal RNA (850 nucleotides) under Cornufer cheesmanae (Cheesman's wrinkled ground frog). RNAcentral's name for it is "Platymantis cheesmanae (Cheesman's wrinkled ground frog) partial 16S ribosomal RNA". It matches the Rfam family "Bacterial large subunit ribosomal RNA", at positions 1502 to 2580 of the family's 2925-position model. The record is from RNAcentral. Lineage: Eukaryota; Metazoa; Chordata; Amphibia; Anura; Ceratobatrachidae.
UAAAACGCGUUAAAGCCUUCCAAUAUCACCACAACCAAAUUCCACACAUCUACUCCAAACCCUUAAACACUAUUGGAUGACCCCAUAAACCUAUGGAAGACAUCAUGCUCAAACUAGUAACAAGAGUAUGAAACUCUCCUAAAUAUAAAUAUAAGCCGCAACAGACAAGCUAACGGCAAUUAACGUUAAUAAGUCUAAUACAACAACUCCCAAGAAAAACUUGUAAACUUCAACGUUACCCUUACACAAGCAUAUUUCAGGAAAGAUUAAAAGGCGAAGAAGGAACUCGGCAAAACCCAACCCCGCCUGUUUACCAAAAACAUCGCCUCUUGCUAAGAUAUAAGAGGUCCAGCCUGCCCAGUGAUUAUUAAACGGCCGCGGUACCCUAACCGUGCUAAGGUAGCACAAUUACUUGUCCUUUAAAUGUGGACCAGAAUGAAUGACAUCACGAGGGUUGCACUGUCUCCUUCCCCCCAUCAGUGAAACUGACCUUCCCGUGAAAAGGCGGGAAUUCAAAUACUAGACGAGAAGACCCCAUGGAGCUUUAGACGCCGAACAAGUCUAGACGUAUCACCCCAUAGUCAAGACCCUUGUCUCUAAGUCUUAGGUUGGGGCGACCAUGGAGUAUAAAUUAACCUCCACACCGAAUGGACUAUUCCUUAUCUAUGAGUGACAACUCUAAGAAACAGAAUACUGACGCCUUCUGAUCCGGAAUCCGAUCAACGAACUAAGUUACCCUGGGGAUAACAGCGCUAUCUACCCCGAGAGUUCAUAUCGACAGGUAGGUUUACGACCUCGAUGUUGGAUCAGGGUCCCCUAGUGGUGCAGCCGCUACAUAAGGUUCGUUUGU